Molecule: transfer RNA, 71 nt
Filed under: Ovis aries (sheep)
Lineage: Eukaryota; Metazoa; Chordata; Mammalia; Artiodactyla; Bovidae
Rfam family: tRNA
About the family: Transfer RNA (tRNA) molecules are approximately 80 nucleotides in length. Their secondary structure includes four short double-helical elements and three loops (D, anti-codon, and T loops). Further hydrogen bonds mediate the characteristic L-shaped molecular structure. tRNAs have two regions of fundamental functional importance: the anti-codon, which is responsible for specific mRNA codon recognition, and the 3' end, to which the tRNAs corresponding amino acid is attached (by aminoacyl-tRNA synthetases). tRNAs cope with the degeneracy of the genetic code in two manners: having more than one tRNA (with a specific anti-codon) for a particular amino acid; and 'wobble' base-pairing, i.e. permitting non-standard base-pairing at the 3rd anti-codon position.
Source: Rfam by way of RNAcentral
UCCCACAUAGCUCAGUCGGUAAAGAACCUGUCUGCAAUGCUGGAGACCUGGGUUCAAUUCCUGGGUUGGAA